GAUGAACGCUGGCGGCGUGCCUAAUACAUGCAAGUCGAGCGAACAGACGAGGAGCUUGCUCCUCUGACGUUAGCGGCGGACGGGUGAGUAACACGUGGAUAACCUACCUAUAAGACUGGGAUAACUUCGGGAAACCGGAGCUAAUACCGGAUAAUAUAUUGAACCGCAUGGUUCAAUAGUGAAAGACGGUUUUGCUGUCACUUAUAGAUGGAUCCGCGCCGCAUUAGCUAGUUGGUAAGGUAUCGGCUUACCAAGGCGACGAUGCGUAGCCGACCUGAGAGGGUGAUCGGCCACACUGGAACUGAGACACGGUCCAGACUCCUACGGGAGGCAGCAGUAGGGAAUCUUCCGCAAUGGGCGAAAGCCUGACGGAGCAACGCCGCGUGAGUGAUGAAGGUCUUCGGAUCGUAAAACUCUGUUAUUAGGGAAGAACAAAUGUGUAAGUAACUAUGCACGUCUUGACGGUACCUAAUCAGAAAGCCACGGCUAACUACGUG
RNAcentral lists this ribosomal RNA (497 nucleotides) under uncultured bacterium. RNAcentral's name for it is "partial 16S ribosomal RNA". It matches the Rfam family "Bacterial small subunit ribosomal RNA", at positions 28 to 507 of the family's 1533-position model. The record is from RNAcentral.